Molecule: long non-coding RNA, 283 nt
Filed under: Elaeis guineensis (African oil palm)
Lineage: Eukaryota; Viridiplantae; Streptophyta; Magnoliopsida; Arecales; Arecaceae
Description: long non-coding RNA (EGUI_LNC002903)
Source: RNAcentral
CCCUCCGUCCGUCGUUCCUCCAUUAUUAUACUAAGGUGAUGAAUAAAUAAACGUGCGUGUCCGCGCGCGCUAAAGCAAAUAAAUAAAUCUGUUUUACAAAAAUAAAAAUAAUAAUGAUGAGGGAUAUCAUAUCAUAUCAUAUCAUAUCAUAUCAUAUCACUGCGCAUAAAAUCUUGAUGGCCGUCGCAAGUGCCCUUUCCUCGCUUUUCUGUUGCUCGCCAUUGACCUUUGGGGCUUUUGCUCCUUACCCCCCUCUCCUCCUCUCCCUCCCUCCCUCUCUCUC